This 861-nucleotide ribosomal RNA is filed under the name Escherichia coli. RNAcentral describes it as "partial 23S ribosomal RNA". It matches the Rfam family "Bacterial large subunit ribosomal RNA", at positions 614 to 1480 of the family's 2925-position model. The record is from RNAcentral. Lineage: Bacteria; Pseudomonadati; Pseudomonadota; Gammaproteobacteria; Enterobacterales; Enterobacteriaceae.
AAUGGGUCAGCGACUUAUAUUCUGUAGCAAGGUUAACCGAAUAGGGGAGCCGAAGGGAAACCGAGUCUUAACUGGGCGUUAAGUUGCAGGGUAUAGACCCGAAACCCGGUGAUCUAGCCAUGGGCAGGUUGAAGGUUGGGUAACACUAACUGGAGGACCGAACCGACUAAUGUUGAAAAAUUAGCGGAUGACUUGUGGCUGGGGGUGAAAGGCCAAUCAAACCGGGAGAUAGCUGGUUCUCCCCGAAAGCUAUUUAGGUAGCGCCUCGUGAAUUCAUCUCCGGGGGUAGAGCACUGUUUCGGCAAGGGGGUCAUCCCGACUUACCAACCCGAUGCAAACUGCGAAUACCGGAGAAUGUUAUCACGGGAGACACACGGCGGGUGCUAACGUCCGUCGUGAAGAGGGAAACAACCCAGACCGCCAGCUAAGGUCCCAAAGUCAUGGUUAAGUGGGAAACGAUGUGGGAAGGCCCAGACAGCCAGGAUGUUGGCUUAGAAGCAGCCAUCAUUUAAAGAAAGCGUAAUAGCUCACUGGUCGAGUCGGCCUGCGCGGAAGAUGUAACGGGGCUAAACCAUGCACCGAAGCUGCGGCAGCGACACUAUGUGUUGUUGGGUAGGGGAGCGUUCUGUAAGCCUGUGAAGGUGUACUGUGAGGUAUGCUGGAGGUAUCAGAAGUGCGAAUGCUGACAUAAGUAACGAUAAAGCGGGUGAAAAGCCCGCUCGCCGGAAGACCAAGGGUUCCUGUCCAACGUUAAUCGGGGCAGGGUGAGUCGACCCCUAAGGCGAGGCCGAAAGGCGUAGUCGAUGGGAAACAGGUUAAUAUUCCUGUACUUGGUGUUACUGCGAAGGGGGGACGGAGAAG